GACGAACGCUGGCGGCGUGCCUAAUACAUGCAAGUCGAGCGAACAGAUGAGGAGCUUGCUCCUCUGACGUUAGCGGCGGACGGGUGAGUAACACGUGGAUAACCUACCUAUAAGACUGGGAUAACUUCGGGAAACCGGAGCUAAUACCGGAUAAUAUAUUGAACCGCAUGGUUCAAUAGUGAAAGACGGUUUUGCUGUCACUUAUAGAUGGAUCCGCGCCGCAUUAGCUAGUUGGUAAGGUAACGGCUUACCAAGGCAACGAUGCGUAGCCGACCUGAGAGGGUGAUCGGCCACACUGGAACUGAGACACGGUCCAGACUCCUACGGGAGGCAGCAGUAGGGAAUCUUCCGCAAUGGGCGAAAGCCUGACGGAGCAACGCCGCGUGAGUGAUGAAGGUCUUCGGAUCGUAAAACUCUGUUAUUAGGGAAGAACAAAUGUGUAAGUAACUAUGCACGUCUUGACGGUACCUAAUCAGAAAGCCACGGCUAACUACGUG
Molecule: ribosomal RNA, 497 nt
Filed under: uncultured bacterium
Lineage: Bacteria
Description: partial 16S ribosomal RNA
Rfam family: Bacterial small subunit ribosomal RNA
Source: RNAcentral